UACGGAGGGUGCAAGCGUUAUCCGGGAUUCACUGGGUUUAAAGGGUGCGUGAGGCGGGUAAGUAAGUCCGUGGUGAAAUCUCUGAGCUUAACUCAGAAACUGCCGUGGAUACUAUUUGCCUUGAAUAUUGUGGAGGUGAGCGGAAUAUGUCAUGUAGCGGUGAAAUGCUUAGAUAUGACAUAGAACACCAAUUGCGAAGGCAGCUCACUACACAAUGAUUGACGCUGAGGCACGAAAGCGUGGGGAUCAAACAGG
RNAcentral lists this ribosomal RNA (255 nucleotides) under uncultured bacterium. Its description in RNAcentral is "partial 16S ribosomal RNA". It matches the Rfam family "Bacterial small subunit ribosomal RNA", at positions 524 to 776 of the family's 1533-position model. The record is from RNAcentral.